This 903-nucleotide ribosomal RNA is filed under the name Actinomycetota bacterium. RNAcentral's name for it is "bacterial SSU rRNA". It matches the Rfam family "Bacterial small subunit ribosomal RNA", at positions 1 to 880 of the family's 1533-position model. The record is from RNAcentral. Lineage: Bacteria; Bacillati; Actinomycetota.
UUUGAGAGUUUGAUCCUGGCUCAGGACUAAUGCUGACGGUGUGCAUAAUACAUGCAAGUCGAACGUGCAAUAUGAAAGUAGCAAUACUUUUAUAAAGCAAGUGGCGAACGGGUGAGUAACGCGUGGAUAAUCUGCCUUAAAGACUGGAAUAACUCUCCGAAAGGAGUGCUAAUACCAGAUGUUUUAUAGUUUUCCAUGAUAAUUAUAAUAAAGGUAGCCGCAAGGCUUCUGCUUUAAGAUGAGUCCGCGUCCUAUUAGCUUGUUGGUGGGGUAAUGGCCUACCAAGGCUAUGAUGGGUAGCCGGUCUGAGAGGAUGAACGGCCACACUGGGACUGAGAUACGGCCCAGACUCCUACGGGAGGCAGCAGUAGGGAAUAUUGCGCAAUGGGCGAAAGCCUGACGCAGCGACACCGUGUGUAGGAUGAAGGUCUUCGGAUUGUAAACUACUGUCAGUUGAAGACGAAGGCAGUAGAGUUAAGAGCUCGAAUGCUGACGGUACUCAAUUAGGAAGUCUCGGCUAACUCCGUGCCAGCAGCCGCGGUAAGACGGAGGAGGCAAGCAUUGUCCGGAAUUAUUGGGCGUAAAGAACACGUAGGCGGUUUGUCAAGUCAUAUGUGAAAACCUUGGGCUUAACUUAAGGAUUGCAUGUGAUACUGGCAAACUAGAGUAUAGUAGAGGAAAGCGGAAUUCCUGGUGUAGCGGUGAAAUGCGCAGAUAUCAGGAAGAACACCAGUGGCGAAAGCGGCUUUCUGGACUGUUACUGACGCUGAGGUGUGAAAGCUAGGGGAGCGAACAGGAUUAGAUACCCUGGUAGUCCUAGCCGUAAACGAUGGACACUAGGUGGGGGGAGUUAUCGACGCUCUCUGUGCCGAAGCUAACGCAUUAAGUGUCCCGCCUGGGGAG